UGAGUUGACUGGGCGGCCGCGACGGGCCUCGGCCCGCCGAGGAACGUCCGGGCUCCACAGGGCACGGUGGUGGGUAACGCCCACCCGGGGUGACCCGCGGGCAAGUGCCACAGAGAGUAGACCGCUGCCGGAGUUCGCUUCGGCAGUAAGGGUGAAAGGGUGGUGUAAGAGACCACCAGCGCACUGGGUGACCAGUGCGGCUAGGUAAACCCCACCGGGAGCAAGAUCAGACAGGAUGCGUAUCAAGGCGGCUCGCCUGAGCAUCCGGGUAGAUCGCUCGAGGGCGCCGGCAACGACGCCCCUAGAUGGAUGGUCGCCUCCCACCGACCGGCAACGGUCGGUGGAGACAGAACCCGGCGUAUAGGUCAACUCAUCCG
This 377-nucleotide RNase P RNA is filed under the name Rarobacter faecitabidus. RNAcentral describes it as "Bacterial RNase P class A". It matches the Rfam family "Bacterial RNase P class A". Rfam says of the family: Ribonuclease P (RNase P) is a ubiquitous endoribonuclease, found in archaea, bacteria and eukarya as well as chloroplasts and mitochondria. Its best characterised activity is the generation of mature 5'-ends of tRNAs by cleaving the 5'-leader elements of precursor-tRNAs. The record is from Rfam by way of RNAcentral. Lineage: Bacteria; Bacillati; Actinomycetota; Actinomycetes; Micrococcales; Rarobacteraceae.